RNAcentral lists this ribosomal RNA (143 nucleotides) under uncultured eukaryote. RNAcentral describes it as "partial 18S ribosomal RNA". It matches the Rfam family "Eukaryotic small subunit ribosomal RNA", at positions 1299 to 1458 of the family's 1831-position model. The record is from RNAcentral.
UGGUGGAGUGAUUUGUCUGGUUAAUUCCGUUAAUGAACGAGACCUCGACCUGCUAAAUAGUUUGGCGAAUUCCCUGUGGAUUCGCUCAUAACUUCUUAGAGGGACUAUCGGUUCGCAGCCGGUGGAAGUUCGAGGCAAUAACA